AUCCAGCUGAUGAGUCCCAAACAGGACGAAACGCGCGUCCUGGAU
Non-coding RNA from Schistosoma mansoni, 45 nucleotides. NCBI's taxonomy places the organism in Eukaryota, Metazoa, Platyhelminthes, Trematoda, Strigeidida, Schistosomatidae. The record is from Rfam.